This 254-nucleotide ribosomal RNA is filed under the name uncultured bacterium. RNAcentral's name for it is "partial 16S ribosomal RNA". It matches the Rfam family "Bacterial small subunit ribosomal RNA", at positions 524 to 776 of the family's 1533-position model. The record is from RNAcentral.
UACGUAGGGGGCGAGCGUUGUCCGGAUUCAUUGGGCGUAAAGAGCUCGUAGGCGGCUUGGCAAGUCGGAUGUGAAAACUCCAGGCUCAACCUGGAGCCGCCAUUCGAUACUGCUAUGGCUAGAGUCCGGUAGGGGAGUGUGGAAUUCCCGGCGUAGCGGUGAAAUGCGCAGAUAUUGGGAGGAACACCGAUGGCGAAGGCAGCACUCUGGGCCGGCACUGACGCUGAGGAGCGAAAGCGUGGGGAGCGAACAGG